Molecule: ribosomal RNA, 402 nt
Filed under: uncultured bacterium
Lineage: Bacteria
Description: bacterial SSU rRNA
Rfam family: Bacterial small subunit ribosomal RNA
Source: RNAcentral
UGGAUUAGGCAUGCAAGUCGAACGAGGUCCAUGCAGUGGCAACACUGCGGAAGACCUAGUGGCGAACGGGUGAGUAACACGUGAGGAACCUGCCCCGAAGACCGGGAUAACCCUCCGAAAGGAGAGCUAAUACCGGAUACCCCCACCUGGUCGCAUGGCCGGGUGAGGAAAUGGAUUCCGCUUCGGGAGGGCCUCGCGGCCUAUCAGCUAGUUGGUGAGGUAACGGCUCACCAAGGCAUCGACGGGUAGCUGGUCUGAGAGGACGAUCAGCCACACUGGCACUGCGACACGGGCCAGACUCCUACGGGAGGCAGCAGUAAGGAAUAUUGCGCAAUGGGCGAAAGCCUGACGCAGCGACGCCGCGUGGGGGAUGAAGGUCUUCGGAUUGUAAACCCCUUUCGG